UCUCACCCUCAAUCUCAUCCUUCUUAGAGGGAUGUGUUUUAAUAAAUACACUCAACCGAUUCGUGUCUUCAUCUUGUGCUUGCAUCUAGAAAAAUAGUAAGAUAUUUAAUUAGAAAAAAAUAAAAGUUAUAUUCAAACUUUUCAAUUGUAACAUAAUUUUCUCGCAGCAUCUCUAAUAAGAUUAAAAGAUGUUCCUCCUAUCCUAUGGUGUCCUCCACUCAUGCUUCGAUUAUCCUUAUUUUUCUUUGCUUGUGCC
This 256-nucleotide long non-coding RNA is filed under the name Elaeis guineensis (African oil palm). Its description in RNAcentral is "long non-coding RNA (EGUI_LNC010007)". Lineage: Eukaryota; Viridiplantae; Streptophyta; Magnoliopsida; Arecales; Arecaceae. The record is from RNAcentral.